Molecule: non-coding RNA, 328 nt
Organism: Vicugna pacos (alpaca)
Lineage: Eukaryota; Metazoa; Chordata; Mammalia; Artiodactyla; Camelidae
Source: RefSeq, a predicted model, not a curated record
CUUCGCCAGUACAUACUGUUCGGUAUUGAAGCUUGAGAAUAUUUUCCUAAAUUUGCCAUUUCUGAUUUUAUCGCAGGAAUAACUUUAGAGAGAGCUCGCGGCUGAUCAUCUCGCUGGAAUAAAGGCCAUGAACUCUGUUCUGAGGCAAGCUUUGGAAUCUUAGAGGAAUGAGGAAACUGAGUCUCAGAGACUGCAGUGACUUGCCCAUUCUUCCAUCUACCCAUCAAAGUCUGGUGUGGAACAGCCAUCUUGGAGGACAAGGGGCAGCGAGAUGAGGACUGGGGAAACAGAAAGGUAGGAGCCCGCUUGCUGAUGACAUUCAGAGCUG